Non-coding RNA from Lactuca sativa (garden lettuce), 678 nucleotides. The record is from RefSeq and is a predicted model, not a curated record. NCBI's taxonomy places the organism in Eukaryota, Viridiplantae, Streptophyta, Magnoliopsida, Asterales, Asteraceae.
CAUGAGGCCAGAGGGUCCUCGAUCAGACCGAACCAGAGGGUCCAACGAGCUACGGGACUGGAGGGUCCCGCUGAGACACAUUGACCGGAGGGUCAUACCGAGUUAUAGCCUCCAGUGGCUUAUGUGUUGUAUGUGGUAUUUUGGGGAACUCACUAAGCUUUGUGCUUACCGUGUAAUGUGUUAUGUGUUUCAGGUUUCUCAGGAUCGCGGGAGGGCACCGACUUGAUUGUACACACCAGAGAAAGAGUUAUGAGGAUCCUGGAUUAUUAAUGGAGUUAUGUUUUGUAAUUUGAAUAAAAAAGAUUUUUAUACAAUAUGUUAUGAAAAGUAUGCGAUUUUUAAAUGAAAAUUUUGUUUGAAAAUUUACGUUGUUACACGAGACCUCCGAUGCCACCGUCCUAGACCCUCGGUCCGACAACAAGGCAUCAGCUCAUGGUUAGGCAAUGAAGAAUAUACAUGACAGGACUGGUUCUUCAGAAAAUAUUUAUAGAAGUUCAACUGAUUCUUCAGAUAGAAUUUUUAUAGAAAAUGUGUUCCUAACUACUAUUAUAAGUUGCUGAUUUUUUUCAUUUGCUGAAAUCUGUUGCUAAUCUUGUUAUUAUGUGCUGAUAUGUUGAAAUUUAUUGUUGACAGUGUUAUGUUUGAUUUGGAUUAAUAUUAAUUUUCAAUUAUGUUUAA